Molecule: unclassified non-coding RNA, 306 nt
Filed under: plant metagenome
Description: partial contains small subunit ribosomal RNA and internal transcribed spacer 1
Rfam family: Eukaryotic small subunit ribosomal RNA (bases 1-46)
Source: RNAcentral
AAGUCGUAACAAGGUUUCCGUAGGUGAACCUGCGGAAGGAUCAUUAAAGAAUACAUGGACUCCGGUCCUCGUCGAGAAAGGUCGUCCCGGGUGGCCUCCAGGUCCCCGGGGGUCUUCCCCCAUCCUUGACCCUUCUCCGUUUACUCGUUACCUCUGCUUCGUCUUUGGCAUUGCACGCAUCCGUGUCCCCUGGGCCGGGGUUUCCGGGGCUUUGGGCCGGUCCUUGGGCCCGGUACUGGGCCCCCGGAACGGCCUACUGUGGGAUAGUCCUAUGUUUUGUCUGAGUACGAUAUAAUCGUUUACAAC